AUCCAAGGUGAGUCCCUCUCCAAGGGGCUGACUAGUGCCCCUCUUAGGACAGUAGCCACCUACAUAGCCAUACUUAGGCUCCUUCUGGAUAGACUGUGUCCUCUUAUUCACAUGCCUGAAAUUGUUAUACAUUU
This 134-nucleotide small nucleolar RNA is filed under the name Cercocebus atys (sooty mangabey). Its description in RNAcentral is "Small nucleolar RNA SNORA67 (ENSCATG00000015220.1)". The stretch from base 1 to 115 matches the Rfam family "Small nucleolar RNA SNORA67". Rfam says of the family: U67 belongs to the H/ACA class of snoRNAs which are thought to guide the sites of modification of uridines to pseudouridines. Lineage: Eukaryota; Metazoa; Chordata; Mammalia; Primates; Cercopithecidae. The record is from RNAcentral.